UAUGCCCUGCUUUUGCGCGUAUACGGCAAUAAAUCUUUCACCAACGCCUAUAUAUUAGGAGCUCAAUAUCUAAUCGAAUACUGCAUUGUCUGGAAACAGAAUAGCGGGAAGCGGUUGUGAGAGCACCUACCUGGAUAACAGGUAUAAAGAUUUAUGCCAGUGACGGCUUAAGCGGGGUUUUU
RNAcentral lists this non-coding RNA (182 nucleotides) under Candidatus Ancaeobacter aquaticus. Its description in RNAcentral is "6S RNA". It matches the Rfam family "6S / SsrS RNA". From Rfam's summary of the family: E. coli 6S RNA was the first non coding RNA to be sequenced, but its function was unknown until recently. Lineage: Bacteria; Pseudomonadati; Candidatus Auribacterota; Candidatus Ancaeobacteria; Candidatus Ancaeobacterales; Candidatus Ancaeobacteraceae. The record is from RNAcentral.